Molecule: ribosomal RNA, 118 nt
Filed under: Pteropus alecto (black flying fox)
Lineage: Eukaryota; Metazoa; Chordata; Mammalia; Chiroptera; Pteropodidae
Source: RNAcentral
GUCCACGGCCACGCGACCCUGAACCAGCCCCAUCCCGGCUGACCUCGGAAGCUCAGCAGGGUUGGGCCUGGUUAGUACCUAGAUGGGAGACCGCCUAGGAAGACCAGGUGCGUAGGCA